RNAcentral lists this ribosomal RNA (617 nucleotides) under uncultured bacterium. RNAcentral's name for it is "bacterial SSU rRNA". It matches the Rfam family "Bacterial small subunit ribosomal RNA", at positions 338 to 948 of the family's 1533-position model. The record is from RNAcentral.
CCUACGGGAGGCAGCAGUGGGGAAUUGUUCGCAAUGGGCGCAAGCCUGACGACGCAACGCCGCGUGGAGGAUGAAGACCUUCGGGUCGUAAACUCCUUUCGAUCGAGACGAAUGUUUUCCGGGUGAACAAUCCGGAAAAGUGACGGUACCGAGAGAAGAAGCCCCGGCUAACUCUGUGCCAGCAGCCGCGGUAAUACAGGGGGGGCAAGCGUUGUUCGGAAUUACUGGGCGUAAAGGGCUUGUAGGUGGCCAACUAAGUCAGACGUGAAAUCCCUCAGCUUAACUGGGGAACUGCGUCUGAUACUGGAUGGCUUGAGUUUGGGAGAGGGAUGCGGAAUUCCAGGUGUAGCGGUGAAAUGCGUAGAUAUCUGGAGGAACACCGGUGGCGAAGGCGGCAUCCUGGACCAACACUGACACUGAGGAGCGAAAGCCAGGGGAGCAAACGGGAUUAGAUACCCCGGUAGUCCUGGCCCUAAACGAUGAAUGCUUGGUGUGGCGGGUAUCGAUCCCUGCCGUGCCGAAGCUAACGCAUUAAGCAUUCCGCUGGGGAUCGGUCGCAAGGCUGAAACUCAAAUGAAUUGACGGCNGAGAGNGCGAGACGACGACGAGGGAGGAGG